GACGAACGCUGGCGGCGUGCUUAACACAUGCAAGUCGAACGGAAAGGCCCUGCUUUUGUGGGGUGUUCGAGUGGCGAACGGGUGAGUAACACGUGAGUAACCUGCCCUUGACUUUGGGAUAACUUCAGGAAACUGGGGCUAAUACCGGAUAGGAGCUCCUGCUGCAUGGUGGGGGUUGGAAAGUUUCGGCGGUUGGGGAUGGACUCGCGGCUUAUCAGCUUGUUGGUGGGGUAGUGGCUUACCAAGGCUUUGACGGGUAGCCGGCCUGAGAGGGUGACCGGCCACAUUGGGACUGAGAUACGGCACAGACUCCUACGGGAGGCAGCAGUGGGGAAUAUUGCACAAUGGGCGGAAGCCUGAUGCAGCAACGCCGCGUGCGGGAUGACGGCCUUCGGGUUGUAAACCGCUUUCGCCUGUGACGAAGCGUGAGUGACGGUAAUGGGUAAAGAAGCACCGGCUAACUACGUG
Molecule: ribosomal RNA, 468 nt
Filed under: uncultured bacterium
Lineage: Bacteria
Description: partial 16S ribosomal RNA
Rfam family: Bacterial small subunit ribosomal RNA
Source: RNAcentral